RNAcentral lists this ribosomal RNA (412 nucleotides) under uncultured bacterium. RNAcentral's name for it is "bacterial SSU rRNA". It matches the Rfam family "Bacterial small subunit ribosomal RNA", at positions 28 to 437 of the family's 1533-position model. The record is from RNAcentral.
GACGAACGCUGGCGGCGUGGAUUAGGCAUGCAAGUCGCGCGACGGUAUUCCUUCGGGGAUAUACGGAGCGGCGAACGGGUGAGUAACACGUGAGGAACCUGUCCCUACAUUCCGGAUAAUUGGCCGAAAGGCCUUGUAAUACGGGGGAGGGUCUUUGAGGGGCAUCCCUUAAAGAAGGAACGAGCAAUCGGUGCAGGGAGGGUCUCGCGGCCUAUCAGCUUGUUGGUGGGGUAAAGGCCUACCAAGGCGACGACGGGUAGCUGGUCUGAGAGGAUGGUCAGCCACAUUGGAACUGAGACACUGUCCAGACUCCUACGGGAGGCUGCAGUCGAGAAUCUUGGUCAAUGCACGAAAGUGUGAACCAGCGACGCCGCGUGAAGGAUGAAGGACCUCUGGUUCGUAAACUUCGUUU